GCUGCGGGUACCUUUGUUUCACCAUUAUUCAGCUCAUCUCAGAGCCCUCCUUUAAUUGUUACUCAAAAAGUUUCAUACAGGAAUGGAGCACGAACAAAAAACGACUUCUACCUCCACAUCUUGGCGUUGAUACCGAGGUCUCUGUGCGUGUGGAGGCUUCAGCUUGUGUACUCAAAGCAGAGCAAAUUACACAAGUCUCAUCCUUCUGGGCUUGGAAACAAAACACCGCCUGCUAUGCCAUGAGAAGGGCUCCGGAGCCAGGAAUUCCAAAGGCAUCUGAGCUGCAGGAAGUACACAGAAUCACAGAGCCCCAGAACGGUUUGGCUUGGAAGGGACCUUGGAGAUGUCCUCAUUCCACCCCCUGCCGUGUAGAUGUCCUCAUUCUCCCUAGGUCAGGUUGCUCAAAGCCCCAUCAGAUGUGUCUGAGAGCAGCUCCUAGCAUCUACUCAACUCAAAAUUCCUAUGAGGAAACCAAACCCACCUUCACUGGUGUACCUCAGUUCUCCCCCAAACCUUCAAAACUUCCAAACACAGAACCUCCAGGCGAGGAUCAAUGCAAACAUCUCACAAACUUUUAUCUCUGUCCAAAAGAGAUGUUUGAUUUGUCUUGUCAUCAUCCUUCAUCUCCACUUGGUGGUUUUUUUUCCUUCUUUUUUAUGACUUUAGGAAACUCCUGGCUUUCUCAGGUAGGAUAUGCAUCUUCUGGUGGCACCUAAAAAAACCCCAAAAAAAACCAAAACAGAAACCUCAGGUCUCUGUUUUAGUAAUGACAGAGAUACUUAAUCAAAUACAUGCCCAGGAAUACCACGAGUCUCUAUGCAGAGAUAAAUGUCUGAAUUUUAUAGUGCAAUGUUUUCACUUCAGCACUUCCCAUCCAUGGAUCUCAUGGAACUUCAUUCAGGUGUCAUUACCCCAAUUUUUGUCAGACAGUGGAAGUGAAGCAGUUGCUGUUAGACCAGUGGCACAGUCUGGAGGCAGAUCAGAUACUUUGACCUGACUUUACAUCUUUCAGAUUCACACAGAUACAUACACAGAUACCUACAGGAAGUUAAAAGGGAUUUCUGAGAUGCUUCACACUAAAAUGCAUUGCAUCACUGAACAUCCACUACAUGCAUUUAAUUCCAAUCUUUGAAUUAAUAUUUAGGGGUAAACAUUAGUCUGGAUUUACAACCACAAUAUACAUGUCCACACCCUUCAUCCACUGAAAGAAUAAUUUUGUAUUUUUAUGCAGCAGUCACCACCAAAAAAAAUAAUACCGCCCUCCAAGGUAGAAGUCAAGCUAAUAAUAGUAAUAGUAAUUGCACUAUUUCUUCUUUAAAAUAUAUUCCUCCAUAUGAUUUCUCUAGAGGAAAACAUAGAUGUCUUUUGAUUGCUUUGUGUUUCCUUUCUAAAGCAUUUGAGAGAUCAAACUUGAGUAGUUUAAAUAUGAAUUUAAAAAAUAACUUAAAAAUUGAGAUUCACAUUGCCAAAUAUUAUGUUUGGACAUAUUUGUACCACUAGCAAUUCUGUAGCCAUUCAUGCAGGAAACAAAAGCAAUAAAUAUUUUUCCAGUCACAAAUAAACUCAUUUCUAAGCCCAGCUAUUUCCAGAGUAGAGUUUAUAUUCUCUUUCAUAAAAGUAGAAGGAUUGAUGGUGGUUUGAGGGGAAGUCAUACUUAAAACCGAUUUAGCAAUAAAUUAGUGCAAAACAUGCAGAAUCUGUGUAGGGCUAUUUGUUACAGAAAUAAAAAUGCUAAAUUCAUCCAAAAUUUUGUUUGCUGUGAAUUAUUCACUUAGCCCUGUCAGUUCCUGAACCUUUAUGAAGAUUUUGUGGAAAGCAAGAAAAAAAAAUAAAAACGAAUCAAGCAUAUGCAAAGCAAAACAGCAUCAAAAGUCAGAGAAGUCUCCAAGGGAGAUGAACUUCAAUGCCACAGUAGGGUAAACAAAUGGAAUUAUUUACAAUAUAACAUUAUCAUUUGCAACGCUAUUUUAUUCAUUAUUUAAUCACACAUACUGAGUCUCCCUCGCAGCCCAUGGCAGACAACAGAGCCAUUUUGUUCUGUCUUUCACCUCCCAUGUCUGUGUGGAAAUGAGAGAGUUUAUCUAACAUUCUGAGUUACUGCCUCCUGCCUGUUCAAAACACACUCCUUCCCCUCCAGCUGCUCAGGGGGCACACGGAUCUCAAGGUUACAAAGAUUUCAGGAGUUGAAAAUGGGCUCAAGAUCAUGAAUUCCCUGUAAGUGGGCCUUGCUUUCACUGGGUGUUGCUGGUUCUGUUACACUCUCACGCUGAAGACGUCUCCAAUAUUCCAGCUAGAUUGCAGGAAUCUCAGGGUUUCCUUCACAAUUUGCAUAACCAUGUGUCAAUCAAGGGCUAAACUUAAGCACCUCUUCUCUUAAUCCCCUAAUUCACAGGGGAGCAGGGGGGACAGGAGGGGUGGCAGUGGAAAUCAGCCAAAGGAGGAUACUGCCAGGAUUAACCUAAUCCAACUGCUACAACUAUUCAAUUUGGAGACUAAGGAUGAUAAAACCUAUUUCCCCAGUCAAUCAAUCAUUGUGAUCGACUUGCAAAAAAAAAAAAAA
RNAcentral lists this long non-coding RNA (2560 nucleotides) under Taeniopygia guttata (zebra finch). RNAcentral describes it as "lncRNA (ENSTGUG00000026976.1)". Lineage: Eukaryota; Metazoa; Chordata; Aves; Passeriformes; Estrildidae. The record is from RNAcentral.